RNAcentral lists this transfer RNA (72 nucleotides) under Heterocephalus glaber (naked mole-rat). It matches the Rfam family "tRNA". Rfam says of the family: Transfer RNA (tRNA) molecules are approximately 80 nucleotides in length. Their secondary structure includes four short double-helical elements and three loops (D, anti-codon, and T loops). The record is from Rfam by way of RNAcentral. Lineage: Eukaryota; Metazoa; Chordata; Mammalia; Rodentia; Bathyergidae.
GGGGGUGUAGCUCAGUGGUAGAGUACCUGCCUAGCAGGCACAAACCCCUGGGUUUCAUCCCCAGUACCACCA